UGUAAUUGACACAUUCUAAAUGUCAACACGAAAAUAAUUAGUGAAUUAUUACAUAGGUACAAGUUGUCCUAAUGAGGAUAAAACGAAAAUUUUGUGAUUUAAACCUGAAGAAAUCGGCAUUUAUCUUUGAAGUUGUGGGAAAUAUAUUUGCGCAUGCUUCAAUUACUCUUUACAAUGUUUGCAUACAACACCUGCUCUGGCCCUACACACGCCCUCUACCGGGUGGGACCGAGCCUGAUCCUGGUUACAGUCCCCGCAAUCAAAUAUGGGGGCCAUGGUUUUAAGAUAGACAAAAAUUUAUAAUUGGAUAUGGCUUUAAUGUUUUUCAAAAUAUUCCCCAUUAAAAUCAAAACAUUUUUCAUGUGUUUGAACCAAUUGUAAGCAUUUUUUCCAUUCUGAUUAAGGUACAUGUGAUUUGAUCGAAUCAACCGCUGUUUCAUUUAGAAAUUGACCUUUCUACGUUGCUCUAAUGGAACGGUGCUUCGUGUGCGUUCGUGACAAGAACUUUGUCUACUGUCAGAAGAAUUUACUUAAACUAGACUAUAAAUGUGUUUGAUUUCCACCUUAUUAAUUUUAUUCACAUAAUUCAAUUGCAGAUAAAAAUCAUCCUAUUGUCAAUCACCUUUUUGAUCUUUGAAAUUUGAAUUAUAUUUUUUAUUUUUGGUAAAAGUUCAAAGGAGCGUAAUUAUUAUUCAUACCUUUUCAAUUGUAAUAUUCUAAACAAAUUAUAAGAAAAAUAAAGCUAAAAUAUGUGAAUAUUAAA
Diorhabda carinulata is the source of this 763-nucleotide long non-coding RNA. RefSeq lists it as uncharacterized. The record is from RefSeq and is a predicted model, not a curated record. The transcript has 2 exons. NCBI's taxonomy places the organism in Eukaryota, Metazoa, Arthropoda, Insecta, Coleoptera, Chrysomelidae.